CACUAAGAAGCUACGCAGCAUUAGCCUUUUAAGUUAAAGAGAGGGGAUUAGCCUCCUUAGUGA
Molecule: transfer RNA, 63 nt
Filed under: Eremias vermiculata
Lineage: Eukaryota; Metazoa; Chordata; Lepidosauria; Squamata; Lacertidae
Description: tRNA-Lys
Source: RNAcentral